RNAcentral lists this transfer RNA (58 nucleotides) under Cavia porcellus (domestic guinea pig). Lineage: Eukaryota; Metazoa; Chordata; Mammalia; Rodentia; Caviidae. The record is from Rfam by way of RNAcentral.
GGGGAUUUAGCUCAGCGGCAUAAGCGCCUGCCUUGCAAGCAGGCAGUCGUAAUCCCUG